RNAcentral lists this ribosomal RNA (59 nucleotides) under Planktomarina temperata. Lineage: Bacteria; Pseudomonadati; Pseudomonadota; Alphaproteobacteria; Rhodobacterales; Paracoccaceae. RNAcentral also lists the same sequence under 1 other name. The record is from RNAcentral.
UUUGGUGAUCAUAGCGCCAAUGAAACACCCGAUCCCAUCCCGAACUCGGAAGUUAAGCA